UGACACUGCGGGUACCUCUUU
This 21-nucleotide microRNA is filed under the name Gallus gallus (chicken). RNAcentral describes it as "gga-miR-1715-3p". Lineage: Eukaryota; Metazoa; Chordata; Aves; Galliformes; Phasianidae. The record is from miRBase by way of RNAcentral.